Molecule: transfer RNA, 71 nt
Filed under: Bos taurus (domestic cattle)
Lineage: Eukaryota; Metazoa; Chordata; Mammalia; Artiodactyla; Bovidae
Also listed under: 2 other names
Rfam family: tRNA
About the family: Transfer RNA (tRNA) molecules are approximately 80 nucleotides in length.
Source: Rfam by way of RNAcentral
UCCUGGUGGCUCAGCUGUUAAAGAAUCUGCCUGCAAUGCAGGAGACUCAGGUUCGAUCCCUGAAUCUGGAA